Molecule: ribosomal RNA, 415 nt
Filed under: uncultured bacterium
Lineage: Bacteria
Description: bacterial SSU rRNA
Rfam family: Bacterial small subunit ribosomal RNA
Source: RNAcentral
UGAGGAAUAUUGGUCAAUGGGCGCAAGCCUGAACCAGCCAUCCCGCGUGCAGGAAGACGGCCCUUUGGGUUGUAAACUGCUUUUCCAGGGGGAGAAUUUUUCUGUCGUGACUGGAAUUGACGGUACCCUGGGAAUAAGCAUCGGCUAACUCCGUGCCAGCAGCCGCGGUAAUUCGGAGGAUGCGAGCGUUAUCCGGUUUUUUUGGGUUUAAAGGGUGCGUAGGCGGAUUGAUAAGUCAGUGGUGAAAACCUGCAGAGUAACUGUAGACAUGACGUUGAUACUGUCAGUCUUGAGUGUGGUCAAGGUAGGCGGAAUGUGUAAUGUAGCGGUGAAAUGCUUAGAUAUUACACAGAACACCGAUUGAGAAGGCAGCUUACUGGGCCAUUACUGACGCUGAGGCACGAAAGCGUGGGGA